RNAcentral lists this ribosomal RNA (255 nucleotides) under uncultured bacterium. RNAcentral describes it as "partial 16S ribosomal RNA". It matches the Rfam family "Bacterial small subunit ribosomal RNA", at positions 524 to 776 of the family's 1533-position model. The record is from RNAcentral.
UACGUAGGGGGCAAGCGUUUGUCCGGAAUCAUUGGGCGUAAAGAGCGCGUAGGCGGCCCGAUAAGUCCGCUGUGAAAGUCAAGGGCUCAACCCUUGAAUGCCGGUGGAUACUGUCGGGCUAGAGUCCGGAAGAGGCGAGUGGAAUUCCUGGUGUAGCGGUGAAAUGCGUAGAUAUCAGGAGGAAUACCGGGUGGCGAAAGCGACUCUCUGGACGGCAACUGACGCUGAGGCACGAAAGCGUGGGGAGCAAACAGG